This 542-nucleotide ribosomal RNA is filed under the name uncultured bacterium. RNAcentral's name for it is "partial 16S ribosomal RNA". It matches the Rfam family "Bacterial small subunit ribosomal RNA", at positions 355 to 889 of the family's 1533-position model. The record is from RNAcentral.
UGGGGAAUUUUGGACAAUGGGCGAAAGCCUGAUCCAGCAAUGCCGCGUGUGUGAAGAAGGCCUUCGGGUUGUAAAGCACUUUUGUCCGGAAAGAAACAGCCUGGGAUAAUACCCCGGGCGACUGACGGUACCUGCAGAAUAAGCACCGGCUAACUACGUGCCAGCAGCCGCGGUAAUACGUAGGGUGCAAGCGUUAAUCGGAAUUACUGGGCGUAAAGCGUGCGCAGGCGGUUCGGAAAGAAAGGUGUGAAAUCCCAGGGCUUAACCUUGGAACUGCACUUUUAACUACCGAGCUAGAGUACGUCAGAGGGGGGUAGAAUUCCACGUGUAGCAGUGAAAUGCGUAGAGAUGUGGAGGAAUACCGAUGGCGAAGGCAGCCCCCUGGGAUGAUACUGACGCUCAUGCACGAAAGCGUGGGGAGCAAACAGGAUUAGAUACCCUGGUAGUCCACGCCCUAAACGAUGUCAACUAGCUGUUGGGGGUUUAUUAACCUUAGUAGCGCAGCUAACGCGUGAAGUUGACCGCCUGGGGAGUACGGUCGC